UGACUGGGCCGGCCGGGAGGCCGAGGCUCUGGCGAGGCGGCUGAGGGGGGCGAAGCUGGAAGGCCGCUGCUCGCUCCUGAAACCCCGGAGAAGGGAGGGAGGGAGGGAGGGAUGGCGGAGGAGGAGGGAGGAAGCGGGCUGGCUCUCGCUCUCUCUCUCUCAGCGGCCGCUGGCUGCCCUUCAGGAAUGCGCCCUUCUCUCUCUCUCAGGGAGAUGAUGGCUGGAGUUGGAAAAGGCCUCGGAGGUUGGGGACGACGAGGCAGGAGGCGAAGGCCGCUCUCCGGAGGAGAAGCGGGGGAGGCUGAAAAAGAAUUAUUAUUAUUAUUAUUAUUAUUAUUAUUAUGCGAAGUACGCUCUGAAGAGAAGGGGGAGGCUGAAAAAGAAUUAUUAUUAUUAUUAUUAUUAUUAUUAUUAUUAUUAUGCGAAGUACGCUCUGAAGAGAAGGGGGGAGGCUGAAAAAGAAUUAUUAUUAUUAUUAUUAUUAUGCGAAGUACGCUCUGAAGAGAAGGGGGGAGGCUGAAAAAGAAUUAUUAUUAUUAUUAUUAUUAUUAUUAUUAUGCGAAGUCCGCUCUGAAGAGAAGGGGGGAGGCUGAAAAAUAAUUAUUAUUAUUAUUAUUAUUAUUAUUAUUAUUAUUAAAUCUCUGCUCUGAAGAGAAAGGGGGAGGCUGAAAAAUAAUAAUUAUUAUUAUGCGAAGUCCACUCUGAGGAGAAGGGGGGAGGCUGAAUUAUUAUUAUUAUUAUUAUUAUUAUUAUUAUGCGAAGUCCGCUCUGAAGAGAAGGGGGGAGGCUGAAAAAGAAUUAUUGUUAUUAUUAUUAUGCGAAGUCCGCUCUGAGGAGAAGGGGGGAGGCUGAAUAAUAAUAAUAAUAAUAAUAAUAAUAAUAAUAAUGUGAAGUCCGCUCUCUGGAGAAGGGGGAGACUGAAAAAGUAUUAUUAUUAUUAUUAUUAUUAUUAUUAUUAUUAUGUGAAGUCCGCUCUCUGGAGGAGGAGAAGGGGGGGGAGGCUGAAAAAGAAUUAUUAUUAUUACUAUUACUAAUAUUACUACUGUUAUGAUGCAAAUGCCGCUCUCUAGAGGAGGAGGAAAAGGGGGGGGGGCUGAAAAAGAAUUAUUAUUAGUAUUACUAAUUAUUAUUGCUGUGACUAUUCUGCCCUUUAUCUAAAGCUCCCCAGGGAAAGAACUGCCCCGAGACCUCCAGUUAUAGGGCGGUAUAUAAAUUCAAAAAAUAAUAAUGAUGGGAUGCUUCUGUCUCAAAGAAUAGUGGUCCUAAAAAGAUGGGCGAGGGCAUUCUCAGGAUACCGCCAAAGAGAGCAGCUGGCUAUUUAGCUUUAACUGAUCAACUGCGUUGCACAUAACUUGGUUCUGCCCUCCCCCCAACAUAAAGGCUGCCCCACCCCAACAAAAUCCUGUCUACUCCCAUGGUAAAGAAGAAUGCUUUCUCCUUGCACCUAUAGAUAUGUAAUGGUAGUGCCAGGUGAGUCUCUCCAUAUUUAUACACUCCGAGUUUUGCUUUGAGCCGAAGUUCAGGGCUCUGCAAGGAUGCGGCCUGCAGCUUUUGCAUUUGUUCGUAGGACUGAGCUUCUUAAAAAAGCGACAUUAUUCCCAAACAUACAGAGGCACAGCUCUCUUGUUCUCUCUCUGGAUAUUAUUUUUAUUAUGUAUUAAAUUUGUACACCACCCUUCAUCCAAAGCUCUUAGGGCAGUUUGGGGGUGGGGGUGGGGGAAUACAAGAUAAAAGCAAAAGCAAAAGAAUCCAAGGAUGCCCUUCUUUUGGACAUUUUCAUAAGAUGUGUAAGAGCUUUGAAAAUGCUUUAAAACGGAUAAGCUCGAAAGCAAUUUGAGACGCUUAAGAUAAAAUGUUAAAAUUAUUUAUUAUUUACAGAAGAAGAUGCUACCUUUCCAUUCAAAGAGAUGCUCAAGCUAGUGUACAAUCUACCGUAAAUCCUGCUAAACAAAAAAAAAAAAAUUAAAAGGCAGCAGCAGCAGCAAAGAAAAGAGGCAGCAGAUAAAAGACUUUCACGAACAAGGCAAGGGAAUGAAAAAGAACAGAUGGGCAGGUUAAGCGCCUGCCUGUCAUGUUUUUGCACAGCAGCAACAGGCUGUCAGAGAAGGGACAAAAGAGGCCUCCCAGUCUCUUGGCAGGGAGUUCCACAGUCCAAUCUUCUCAAGUAAUGGUGAGUACUGGCCCCAUUGGCAAAGCUGGAGGAGCCCGGAGAGAAAUAGACUGAGCAAGAAAACAGUGGAGGGGGGUGUCCAUGGGAUUGGGGGGGGGGGCAGAAAAAGCAGGGAGCCCAGCAUGUAUGUGGAGCCAGAGCCUCCGCCCAGUAUACUUGAAGAGGCGUCUCCACCCCCAUCAUUCUGCCCGGACGCUGAGGUCCAGCGCCGAGGGCCUUCUGGCGGUUCCCUCAUUGCGAGAAGCAAAGCUACAGGGAACCAGGCAGAGGGCCUUCUCGGUGGUGGCACCUGCCCUGUGGAACGCCCUCCCAUCAGAUGUCAAAGAGAUGAACAACUACCUAACAUUUAGAAGACAUCUGAAGGCAGCCCUGUUCAGGGAAGUUUUUAAUGUGUGACACUUUAAUGUAUUUUUAAUCUUUGCUGCAAGCCGCCCAGAGUGGCUGGGGAAACCCAGCCAGAUGGGAGCGGGGUACAAAUAAUAAAUUAUUAUUAUUAUAAAUGGCAGGGAGAGCCAACUGUAAUUCUAGUUUUGUCCCCAUUUUCCUGAGUUCUACAGCACAUCACUGAGCCCGAGAAGGAGGAAGCUGAUUGGCAGGGCAGGGCACCAAUUGCCCUAAUGGAACAGCCUCCGCUGGCAGAAAGAGGUGGGUCAAUGGCAGCCUGGAGGCAACUGGAAGGUCAGGAGAAGAGUUAAGAGUAUGAAGAGGAAUGGGCAGAGCCUGUCAUGUGGCAGGUUGAACUUGGCAGAACCGGAGCCUGCAAAGUCCAGAGUCGACCGGCCCCUUUGGAGACCAGUAUUGGCUACAAAGGGUAGAACAGUGCUCCUGACGUGCCUUGCAACCCUGCAAAGUUAACAGCUCUCUUCCAAAAUUGCGUCCCCCUCUCAGCUGCUGUCUGCAAGCAAGGAACAAAAGCACUGCUAAGGCUACAAUUGGAUGUGAUUAGUCCGUGGAAGGAAGGGCCUUUAUUUAAAGCACUUGCUGUAGAAAGAGAAAGAUGAAAGCCUGCUUCCCAGGAUAAUCUUCCCUGCAUCUACGUUCUGGUACGUCCUGAACCUAGUGAGGCUUAAAAUUUGCUAGUUUUCCGGACCAAUAACUCAGACUUUGAAUCCAAAGACUGCUAUUUGGGGUCAGGAGUCUUUUCUUUAUUUCUUCCAGGGAAUUCAUAUUGAUCUCUUGUUUAAAUACUUCCCUAGUUACUUCCUAAACAGCCCAUUUUCCCUUGUGCACAAUAAGAAGAGCAAGGCAGACAAAGCAGCAUUCUGUGUUCUCUUCUGUCCAGAGAUCUGACCACCCUUUAUGUGCUACUGCAGAACUACAAAAUGUAAUAAGUAAUGCUGGAGUUUUUUCUAGUUCAACUGUGAUAAUAAGAAAUGUACCUUAAGCUAUAGGUGCAGCUGUAGCCUAGGAGCCUUAUGGAUGCACCCAGAAUACGCAGUGGCCUCGUGUUGCUACCAAGGCUGCAAACAAUAAGUUCACAUAGCUUUGUGUGUGACUGAAGCUCUUUGUGUGGGUUAUCUUGUAAUCCUCCAGACCCCCCUGUUUGGUAAGACACGUAGCAAGCAUAUAUGGGGGCUGGGUGAGGCUGAGAAAUGUUUAGUAGGAAGGGACCCCUUAAUCCAACCACCUGCUCUAUGCUGAAUGCAUCUCCUGUACCCCGGACAGAUGGCCAUCCAUCCUCUGCUUAAAUGCAAAUAAGAGUCUACCAUCUCCCAGUCAGUCCAGUGCUGAACAUCUGUUACCAUUUGGAAGGCUAUCCUAACACUUAGCUGGAACCAGCUUGUCUUCAAUAUGGUUCUAGUCCUGAUUUCUAGAGCGACAGGGAAAACAAGUCUGCUCCAUCUUCUGUGUGAUAGCCCUGCAGAUUGUCUCCCCUUAAUCUUCUCCAGUCCUACCUCUCCUAUUUCCACCAUUCAUAGAACAUUGGUUUCCAAACCCCUUAUCAUUCUGGUUGCCCUCUUCUGGACAUCCUUGACUUCGUCAGUGUCCUUUCUAAAAUGUGGCACUCAGGGCUUUAGAUGUGGCCCAGCCACCACAGAACAUAGCGUAACUAUUGCUUCGCCUGAUCUUGGAAUUACGCUUGUGUUAACGAAACGUAAGACUGCCCCUCUAUGAUCAUCACUGCUGGUUCACAAGCUGAUCCAUGAAGACUCCUAAAUACUUUUCACAUGUACUGCUUCCAAGCCAGGUUUCUUUCCCCAAUUCCACCUCACCUAUUAAUUUUUUGUUACAUUUAUCCCUGCUGAAUUUCAUCUUGUUGGUUUUGGCUCAAUAGUUCAGGUUGUUGAGAUGGUUUGGAAUCUUUUGUUCUUGAUGCGAUUCUUCCCAGCGUUGUGUCAACUGAAAAGUUGAUAAGCAGCCCCCUGACAAAUCCCAAAAUAGUGCCUUCCAGAGAUUUUUGUGGACUACAAUUCCCAUCAUCCUCAACUAUAGGGAUGAUGGAAGCUGUAUUCCACAAAACUGGGCGGGGGGGGGGGAGCGGCGGCAUUAUACUCACUAACCAAUAUUUUCUCUUCUCACAACAGGCUAACUGGUUUGAAAUGACUCACACUAUUUUAAUGGAUCUUGGGAGAAAAGCAAUGACAAGCCUAGACAGCAUCUUAAAAAGCAGAGACAUCACCUUGCCAACAAAGGUCCGUAUAGUUAAAGCUAUGGUUUUCCCAGUAGUGAUGUAUGGAAGUGAGAGCUGGACCAUAAAGAAGGCUGGUCACCAAAAAAAUUGAUGCUUUUGAAUUCUGGUGCUGGAGGAGACUCUUGAGAGUCCCAUGGACUGCAAGAAGAUCAAACCUAUCCAUUCUGAAGGCAAUCAACCCUGAGUGCUCACUGGAAGAACAGAUCCUGAAGCUGAGGCUCCAAUACUUUGGCCACCUCAUGAGAAGAGAAUGGAAAAGACCCUGAUGUUGGGAAAGAUGGAGGGCACAAGGAGAAGGGGACGACAGAGGACGAGAUGGUUGGACAGUGUUCUCGAAGCUACCAGCAUGAGUUUGACCAAACAGCGGGAGGCAGUGGAAGACAGGAGUGCCUGGCGUGCUCUGGUCCAUGGGGUCACGAAGAGUCGGACACGACUAAACGACUAAACAACAACAACAAAUUUUAAUGGAAGUGCAGAAUCAUUAAGGAGGUGGGCUCAUCCUCUCGGUAGAUUUUUGGCUCAUAGAACCACUUAAAUCAGAUAGAGUUUAUUUCAUCACUGAUCCUAUACUCUGCUUAAGGAAGAAGUUUCCAUCUCUAAUUCCUAUAACUAUGUAAGUUGCCCCUUUGGUUCCUUUUGCCUCCUCGGAACCAUCCUUUCCAGGUAACCAAAGAUGAGCCCUGUCAAGACUUUCACACUCUCAGAACAUCUUUCUUGUAAGAACUCUGCACAUGUUCUGAAACCUAAGACUACAGUCUUAGCCUGUCAAGGUUCCCCCACUCUCCUAGCGAAUCCUCCUCAAAAAGGACCAGUCUAGAAAGGCUCUCCCCACACCUUGCUAAAUUCACCCAAGCUUCCUACCUCCCUGAAUGGUGAUUGUUUAUCUAGCACCUUCCAUUCGCAUGGUGGUUUACUGAGUACAAUAAGACAGUUACCUGCCCGAAGGAGCUUACAGUCUAAACUCCAGCACAGGAGAAAUAGAGGCAAAGGAAGGUAAAGAAUACAUGGUUGUUGCAGGUGCUUAGGCUUAUUUACGCACCAGGCUAAAUGAGCAAGAUUCAAACCCAAUGCCCUCCAGAUUCAUAGCUCAGCUUCUUAGCCACUGUAUUACACCAGCUCUCAAACCAAUUUAAACUGGCUUCCGAUGUCGUGACCACUGUUAUUGUCCUACAACAGCCAUCCUCCUUCACCAUUGGCUGUGCUGUCCAGGGCUGAUGGGAUUUGUAAUAAUAAAAUAAUUAUUAUUAGUGCCACAGGGCAACAGCACCACAUUUACUGCUCCCUCGUUAGCAUAUAAAAGCAGCGGACAACCACCCGUAUAUCAGCAAAUUACUUGCAAGUGUGGUUUUUCUUAAAGUGAUCCUGCUGUCUUCAUUCUGAUUCUGGUUAGAACACUCUUACUUUGGGGGUGUCAAAUGGGGCAGAAGAUGCACCACAGCCAUCCAAGUUUCUUAGAGCACAUUCUCUUUUUCUAACUCCCAAUACAGCUGCCGAAGAGUAACACUGAAGAUGGCGAAGACGUCAUCUGGUGAGAAGGAUGCAUACAUUGGAUGCUGACGGAGGGGUUUUGUUUCACAGUGCAAACAUGUUUUAAGCAUAAGAUAACCAAAGAUACAGCAGGCCAGCAAAGGAAGCUUUUUAAAAAAAAUUAUUACCCUAUGAUGAAAAACCAGGCAGCUUUAUUACACCAGUGUGUGGUGAUAUAGAAGAGAUUUUGAAUUGCAGUACUGCACAGAAAAUGCCAAUCCAAGGUUUUUGUGCACCUCUAAAUUUUGAGCUUGUUAUCCUUUGGGAUCAAUAGAACAAUAGCUGCCUGUAAGCAUUAAAACACUGCUCACACAAAUGCCCCAAGUUACACACACACCCUUUCCUUGCUUUCCCAAAUGCAUAGUUUUGUCUUUAGCUUUGUUUCGGAUCAGCAAACCGCCGUGGAUGUUUUAAAGAAGCAAUUCCUACCUGAAUAUUGAUCAUGCAGCCAUUCCAGUUAAACCCAGCAGCCGGUAAGGUGACCGGAAAGGGGAAUGGGAAGAGAAGGGCCGAGAGACUUUCCCUAAAUGAAAAGGAAUCCUCCGCUCUUCAUUCUUGCUGUGUCCAUAGCUGCAGGGCAUCUGUCCCAAGUCGCUGGUUUAAGCUGCAGCUUUUGAUAUUCAUGAUUGGUUUCAUAAUCCCGAUCAAAAAAGGGAAAUCGCUAGGAUUAUGAAAUUGUUUUAAUCCACCUCUGCCCCAUCCAUGGCUGUUGACUUCAGCAUCACCUUUGUUGUCGUCUUUAAGUGCUCGCCUAAGCAGAAACUCCUUUAUAGAAGUCCUGGUAAAGUGUACUAGAAACGCAAGGCCUGUUUUUCCCCCUUUCCUUUCCUCCCCCCCCUUUCCCCCCCUUUUCUUUUUUUUUGGGCUAACCGCUGUAGCAGCAGAAUGGAAUGUUUCAAUUUCCGGUAUACUCUGCCCAUUUUGCAAAUCUCAUCAGGCUAAAGAAAACCAAGGGCUGAUUUGUGACUGGAGUUUGCACAGAGACUAUUUUUGACAGAGGACAUGUGCGACCGGCUAAUGGGGAAGAUUACAACCAUGUUCAGAGGAGUUGUCGCUGUGUAAUUUAAAGCUGGCAUGGAUAAGAUGGUUAGUUAGAUGUCCUAAUUUUUGCUGCUGCUGCUGUUUGAAUAAAGCAAGCAUUUGGUCUUGCAGUGCAUGCACUGUGACUUUAUGCAGCGCUGAAACGUACUCAAGGGAAAAGGACAAUUGUCUCCAUGGGCACAUCCACACACACACGCCUUCUGCUGAAUGUUAUUAUCCUUCUCACUCCCCUUUUAUCAGAAUAAGGGGCAGCAGCACACAACCCACAACUUUCAGAAUUUUAUAAUUUGGCAUCCACAGUGUUUCAUCCACACCAGCGGGCCAUUCAUAUGACCGAGUAUGCCUAUUUUACUUAUGCCUAUAACCACCACUUUAUAUACUGCCCUAUACCCGGAGGUCUCAGAGUGGUUCACAGAAUAAAAUUGAAAUACAAAACCACAAAAUACAUAAUCAAAAUAAAAACAAUAACCACCCCACCCAAAAACCCCACAUUUUAAAAGGGCAUAGGAUCCUCACAACAUUUAAAGUAACAAACCUGGACAAGAGCCACUCGUUGGAAAGACCAUGAUUUCAGAAAUGUCUGUAGCAAUAUUUACUGGCAACCAAAUUGGCCGGGUGCCUUUCUGAUAACAAAGACAAAAAUAGAUUUGAAAGAAGAGUGGGAGGGGAGAAAUUAGCUUUGGUUGUUGAGCAGAUGUAAUAUUAGUGCUUCGUGUUCUGCAAGGGAAAGACCUGUAUCUAACGUUGCAAACGAGUCCUCUUUGCGGAGUUCCAUCUUCUUUCUUCUUGGCGCUGUUUCUACCACUGAUGCGCUUCCACCAGAACGUUGUUUGUCGAUUCCAGGGCCACCAUGGCUUUCUGGCUCAGCCUCUUGGUCAGAGUCUGUAUAUCUGUCAGGGUCUGGAAGGAAGCUUGGAUCAAAUUCAUCAUCACUUUCACUGCAUCUUAUUUAUAUAGUAGAUUUAAAAAAAAACAUGGCCAGAUCUUCUGCAGCAGCAACACCUUGGGGCGUUUUGUAGCUCUGCUCUCCUUUCCCUUGACAGGUGCAGCAGGCUGAGCAGGGCAUUUGGGACUGUUGAGGGGAAGGACAAAGAGCUGCCUUGGCCAAUGGUAUAAUAAGAUCUGGAGAAGCACAGAGGAGGAAACUUCUCCUGGGGAACAACAGGUCCAGCGACUGAGGAGUUAACACACUUCCCACCCACCUCCACCCCCGUACUGCCUUGCAGUGGGGCAGUGGUGCUGGUUCCUGGGAGUAGGGGAAAGGAAGAGAAGUAGAAAUUGGGGGGGGGGACACCUCAUUUCACUCCGAAGGCCUUUGAUCCCUCCUCUGUUUCUUUGCAAGGUUCACAAAUGACUCAGCUGGGGUAUAAAACUGCCAGGAACUGUUUUUUCAUCAUCAUCUUAAUGGCCCUGGAACUUGCAGAC
RNAcentral lists this long non-coding RNA (8795 nucleotides) under Podarcis lilfordi (Lilford's wall lizard). The record is from RNAcentral. Lineage: Eukaryota; Metazoa; Chordata; Lepidosauria; Squamata; Lacertidae.